GAAAAGGUAAGGGGUUUGACAAAAAGAGGAAAAGCAGGGAAUUCAAGGAUUCAAAGUUUGGAUUUGGUGGUAGAAAAGGUUUAAAGAAGCAGAACACUGCUGACACUACCAACGAUUUCGGAGGAUUCCACAAAGGUGAUCGUUCUGCUAAAAACAACAAACGCGUUAAGAGAUAAUAGUUCUGCUCAUCAGUUACUAUUUUUUGUUGUACUAGAUCAAAGUUAUUCCUUUGUACUUUACUAGACCAAAGUUUAUUCCUUUGUU
Molecule: unclassified non-coding RNA, 264 nt
Filed under: Hevea brasiliensis (rubber tree)
Lineage: Eukaryota; Viridiplantae; Streptophyta; Magnoliopsida; Malpighiales; Euphorbiaceae
Source: RNAcentral